This is a non-coding RNA of Lipomyces chichibuensis, 72 nucleotides long. Lineage: Eukaryota; Fungi; Ascomycota; Lipomycetes; Lipomycetales; Lipomycetaceae. The record is from the annotation of a GenBank genome assembly.
GCUCUAGUGGCGCAGAGGUUAGCGCAUCGGUUAGUUACGCGACGGUCGUGGGUUCAAUCCCCACCUAGAGCA